UACGUAGGGCGCAAGCGUUGUCCGGAUUCACUGGGUGUAAAGGGUGCGCAGGCGGGAGUGCAAGUCAGCGGUGAAAUCUCACGGCUCAACCGUGAAACUGCCGUUGAUACUGCAUUUCUUGAGUUAGGGAGAGGUUGAUGGAAUUCCAGGUGUAGCGGUGAAAUGCGUAGAUAUCUGGAAGAAUACCGGUGGCGAAGGCGGUCAACUGGCCCUCAACUGACGCUGAGGCACGAAAGCGUGGGGAUCAAACAGG
RNAcentral lists this ribosomal RNA (253 nucleotides) under uncultured bacterium. Its description in RNAcentral is "partial 16S ribosomal RNA". It matches the Rfam family "Bacterial small subunit ribosomal RNA", at positions 524 to 776 of the family's 1533-position model. The record is from RNAcentral.